ACUAAGCGUACACGGUGGAUGCCCUGGCAGUCAGAGGCGAUGAAGGACGUGCUAAUCUGCGAUAAGCGUCGGUAAGGUGAUAUGAACCGUUAUAACCGGCGAUUUCCGAAUGGGGAAACCCAGUGUGAUUCGUCACACUAUCAUUAACUGAAUCCAUAGGUUAAUGAGGCGAACCGGGGGAACUGAAACAUCUAAGUACCCCGAGGAAAAGAAAUCAACCGAGAUUCCCCCAGUAGCGGCGAGCGAACGGGGAGCAGCCCAGAGCCUGAAUCAGUGUGUGUGUUAGUGGAAGCGUCUGGAAAGGCGCGCGAUACAGGGUGACAGCCCCGUACACAAAAAUGCACAUGCUGUGAGCUCGAUGAGUAGGGCGGGACACGUGGUAUCCUGUCUGAAUAUGGGGGGACCAUCCUCCAAGGCUAAAUACUCCUGACUGACCGAUAGUGAACCAGUACCGUGAGGGAAAGGCGAAAAGAACCCCGGCGAGGGGAGUGAAAAAGAACCUGAAACCGUGUACGUACAAGCAGUGGGAGCACGCUUAGGCGUGUGACUGCGUACCUUUUGUAUAAUGGGUCAGCGACUUAUAUUCUGUAGCAAGGUUAACCGAAUAGGGGAGCCGAAGGGAAACCGAGUCUUAACUGGGCGUUAAGUUGCAGGGUAUAGACCCGAAACCCGGUGAUCUAGCCAUGGGCAGGUUGAAGGUUGGGUAACACUAACUGGAGGACCGAACCGACUAAUGUUGAAAAAUUAGCGGAUGACUUGUGGCUGGGGGUGAAAGGCCAAUCAAACCGGGAGAUAGCUGGUUCUCCCCGAAAGCUAUUUAGGUAGCGCCUCGUGAAUUCAUCUCCGGGGGUAGAGCACUGUUUCGGCAAGGGGGUCAUCCCGACUUACCAACCCGAUGCAAACUGCGAAUACCGGAGAAUGUUAUCACGGGAGACACACGGCGGGUGCUAACGUCCGUCGUGAAGAGGGAAACAACCCAGACCGCCAGCUAAGGUCCCAAAGUCAUGGUUAAGUGGGAAACGAUGUGGGAAGGCCCAGACAGCCAGGAUGUUGGCUUAGAAGCAGCCAUCAUUUAAAGAAAGCGUAAUAGCUCACUGGUCGAGUCGGCCUGCGCGGAAGAUGUAACGGGGCUAAACCAUGCACCGAAGCUGCGGCAGCGACGCUUAUGCGUUGUUGGGUAGGGGAGCGUUCUGUAAGCCUGCGAAGGUGUGCUGUGAGGCAUGCUGGAGGUAUCAGAAGUGCGAAUGCUGACAUAAGUAACGAUAAAGCGGGUGAAAAGCCCGCUCGCCGGAAGACCAAGGGUUCCUGUCCAACGUUAAUCGGGGCAGGGUGAGUCGACCCCUAAGGCGAGGCCGAAAGGCGUAGUCGAUGGGAAACAGGUUAAUAUUCCUGUACUUGGUGUUACUGCGAAGGGGGGACGGAGAAGGCUAUGUUGGCCGGGCGACGGUUGUCCCGGUUUAAGCGUGUAGGCUGGUUUUCCAGGCAAAUCCGGAAAAUCAAGGCUGAGGCGUGAUGACGAGGCACUACGGUGCUGAAGCAACAAAUGCCCUGCUUCCAGGAAAAGCCUCUAAGCAUCAGGUAACAUCAAAUCGUACCCCAAACCGACACAGGUGGUCAGGUAGAGAAUACCAAGGCGCUUGAGAGAACUCGGGUGAAGGAACUAGGCAAAAUGGUGCCGUAACUUCGGGAGAAGGCACGCUGAUAUGUAGGUGAAGUGAUUUACUCAUGGAGCUGAAAUCAGUCGAAGAUACCAGCUGGCUGCAACUGUUUAUUAAAAACACAGCACUGUGCAAACACGAAAGUGGACGUAUACGGUGUGACGCCUGCCCGGUGCCGGAAGGUUAAUUGAUGGGGUUAGCGCAAGCGAAGCUCUUGAUCGAAGCCCCGGUAAACGGCGGCCGUAACUAUAACGGUCCUAAGGUAGCGAAAUUCCUUGUCGGGUAAGUUCCGACCUGCACGAAUGGCGUAAUGAUGGCCAGGCUGUCUCCACCCGAGACUCAGUGAAAUUGAACUCGCUGUGAAGAUGCAGUGUACCCGCGGCAAGACGGAAAGACCCCGUGAACCUUUACUAUAGCUUGACACUGAACAUUGAGCCUUGAUGUGUAGGAUAGGUGGGAGGCUUUGAAGUGUGGACGCCAGUCUGCAUGGAGCCGACCUUGAAAUACCACCCUUUAAUGUUUGAUGUUCUAACGUGGACCCGUAAUCCGGGUUGCGGACAGUGUCUGGUGGGUAGUUUGACUGGGGCGGUCUCCUCCUAAAGAGUAACGGAGGAGCACGAAGGUUGGCUAAUCCUGGUCGGACAUCAGGAGGUUAGUGCAAUGGCAUAAGCCAGCUUGACUGCGAGCGUGACGGCGCGAGCAGGUGCGAAAGCAGGUCAUAGUGAUCCGGUGGUUCUGAAUGGAAGGGCCAUCGCUCAACGGAUAAAAGGUACUCCGGGGAUAACAGGCUGAUACCGCCCAAGAGUUCAUAUCGACGGCGGUGUUUGGCACCUCGAUGUCGGCUCAUCACAUCCUGGGGCUGAAGUAGGUCCCAAGGGUAUGGCUGUUCGCCAUUUAAAGUGGUACGCGAGCUGGGUUUAGAACGUCGUGAGACAGUUCGGUCCCUAUCUGCCGUGGGCGCUGGAGAACUGAGGGGGGCUGCUCCUAGUACGAGAGGACCGGAGUGGACGCAUCACUGGUGUUCGGGUUGUCAUGCCAAUGGCACUGCCCGGUAGCUAAAUGCGGAAGAGAUAAGUGCUGAAAGCAUCUAAGCACGAAACUUGCCCCGAGAUGAGUUCUCCCUGACUCCUUGAGAGUCCUGAAGGAACGUUGAAGACGACGACGUUGAUAGGCCGGGUGUGUAAGCGCAGCGAUGCGUUGAGCUAACCGGUACUAAUGAACCGUGAGGCUUAACC
Molecule: ribosomal RNA, 2893 nt
Filed under: Escherichia coli
Lineage: Bacteria; Pseudomonadati; Pseudomonadota; Gammaproteobacteria; Enterobacterales; Enterobacteriaceae
Description: bacterial LSU rRNA
Rfam family: Bacterial large subunit ribosomal RNA
Source: RNAcentral